AGGAAGCGCGGGCGUCUGCCCUCCCGCCGCCCGUUUCGAGGUCGUGGAGAGGAGAGGAAAUGGCCCCGGAGCAACCACGCAGCUGCCUGAUCGUCUGGCCCGACCGCGCCUCAGUAGAUUUGGGUCCUGGUCUGAGCAGCCGGGCUGGUGCGGGUGUCCUCACUAGGAUAAUGAAUACAGCUCCACUACCUAUACUACCCAAGACGACCCCUCACACGCUCUGCGAGGAAACCGGUCUUCGGACCUGUGCCCCCAACCUGGUGGCCUGCACCAGUGAUAGGGCAAUUUGACUCCUAGUCGUGGGGGCUUGUGAUACUAUCUCUACCUACAGACACCCACUGCCUGUCACUGCACAGUAAACCUUCCUGCUCCACAGGGCUGCCUCCCCACUGGAAUUCCCACCGUGUUCCUGGUUCUGGAAAGUCUGUUUUCCCGGGUGGCCAUGAUACCCUCCCUACUACUCCACUUCUUCCUUGCAGUCACAAGCAGCAGAGUGGAAUGGGAGCUCGACACUGACUAGGCCUUUAACAGUCCUAAGGUAUGUUAGUCCUAAGGUAUGUUAGUCCCAGGGAGUCCGUUAGAUCUGUACAGAAGUCAAGUGGCAGGGCCCAAGCGUUGCCUGUCUACAAGGAAUGGGCCUCGUCAUCCAGCUCUGGCUACCCACAACCCAACUACAGCUCGACCUCCCAUACCUCCUCCCUCUCUCGCCUACCACAGGCCUGGCUUCCCUUCUGAGCCGCCAAUCUGAAGCCACACAAAGGCCUGUUUGUUUGCUUUCACUCCGACUCCCCCCCCUGGAUCCUAUGUCUUUUCUCUGCUACCUGCCGGCAGGGCUUCCUCUCCCAGCCGCCAGCGGGCUGAAGAGGAGGGGCCGAAGGGAAAGAGGGGCAGCCAUUGCAGAAAGCCCUGCCUCAUGAUCACCCCGUGGUUCCUCGAAUCCACCUCCCUAGUACCAGGAGCUCUCAGUUUGAUGGCUUGACAAAUGACGAUGACACUGGUGUCCCUUCAAGGUGUCUCCGAAUAAAGGGAGCUAGCUGGGUGGGCAAUACCUGGGUAGAGAAAGAGGAGCAGAUAGACUCAGCUAGUCUCCCCCUAUCCAUGUGAACAAGAUUUGUUUGUAAGAAAGGCUGCCUUGGCUUUCUAAGCAACCUGGAGUCUGCCAGGAGAUAUGGAGAUGAAGGGGGCCAGGAGGCCUCGAUGGAGCAGGCAGAAGGAUGUUGUUUCCCAGCUCCCCCUCGGUUGGUGGGUGCCCUCAGUGUCCACUUUGGCUAGGCACCCCAGAGAACAUCUUGUGUCUCAGAAGCCCUGCACAGCCAAGUGAGCUGAAAUAAGGCUUUCACGGGCAAAGAAAAACAAACAGCCACAUUCCACACCACCUUCUCUACCUGCAGAGGGAGGCUGCCCUCUCUCCCCAUUCAAAUAAAGAAAUUCGACACUGAUAUAGCACAGAGAUAGGCAAUCUGGCCUGGCUCCCCCACCAGAGCUCUUUUAUUGCACCCUGCCAAGCUGGGUGGCCCAGGGCGGGUCCUUCCCUCCCUGGGGCCUCUUUCCCUUUCCAGGCUGAGUUUAACCCCUAUGGCCACUUCCAGGAUGAAAACAUUAUGCCCACCCAAGAAUGGAGGAAACCAAAAGAAAAACCCACAGGAAGAAAAACCUCCCUAGUCAACCUCAGGGCUGUCUGUCUCCAAACCUUAAACUUUUCUUACCUGAAAACAGUGUCAUUUCACAGCAGCUGAUUGAUUAUCUAUGAAACGGGUGAAUGACUAAUGUGAAAGGAAGGUGGUAAGCAGGGUUAACUUGGAGCCCAGUAGUUGUGAUUCUCAACUGGUUGAGCUCAUGUCGGUCUCUUAACCUUUCUGAGCUUUAGUUUCUUUGACAGAACAGUUAAGGGUUAGAGAGGACCACCCAGUACCUGGCACAAAGCAGGUACAGCUUAAAUGAUAGUUCUCCUGGCAAUGAGAGACGGGCCUUCACUCAUCAGAGGAGUCAGAGCUCCCUUCCCUUCGCCUUCACCAGCUGGCUUUGUCUACAGGUAUCCCAUCACUUCUUCCCAUCUCUGACCUCUAGAAACUUCUGGUAAAGGCCACAGCCACCCCACCUGACGUCCCUAAGCUCCCAAGAGACAGUGUCACCCCAAGGGAAUAAAGCCAGCUCCAUCAACGUUAUGCUAAGUCUGAUUUGGCAAACCCUGUUUUUAGUGCUAUUUUGAGCCACAGUGGGGAUUUUCUGUGCUGUCUCAAAGGUAUACAUAGGAUUGCUUCCCAUCCCACUCCUCUCUGUGCUUGACAUGAAAAUGUUGUUCUUCCUCUUCUCUCUCUCCCCACCUAUUAGAGGAUGUAAUCCAAACAAAGGCUAGAAUCUAGGAUUUGGUUCCAGAGCAGCCUGGGAUAGCAAUGGCCUCUAUUCUCUCAUACCUAACCUGAUCUUCUGUUUCCACAGUGCAACAGAAGAGCUGCAGCUUUCAGACAGACAGAGUGAAAGGUUUCUCAUUAGCAUCCCUCAACCUCGGGAAGCUUCUCCCGGUCCCGAAGGCUAAGAGCCUUUUCCAGCAGCCAGCCUUGCAAUGCUACCCUUCUCCUCCACCUCUGAAGCUUUGAGAUUGGGCCACCAUGUUGGACUAGGAUUGCAGAAGGCCAUUGCUGGUUCUGCACUUUCCUUUGAGCUUAGACGUCACAACUCAUCAUGCAAUUGUGAUUAUUACAGUCCUUUCUGCAGUGCCAGUGUACCCACCAGGCUGGACACUUCAAAAUGGCAGGGCUAUAUCUGUGUGGCUACUACUACCUUGCAGCAAGGCUUGUUGAGCCCUUACAGUACUAUAGAUGUCUUGGCCAGCUGGUUUGUUGUUAUAGCGACAGUGGACUGCAGUGUUCUGCUGAGACAACCGAGAAUUCCUCCAGACAUGACUCAAACAUCCCCAAGUGACAAAAUUACCUAGAAUUGAUAGCCUCCUCUCUCUCCACAGCCUAUCCUGGCGUCCCUGAAAUAAAUGAAUGCACAGCUCUGCUCUGUCUUAGAA
This 3016-nucleotide long non-coding RNA is filed under the name Mus musculus (house mouse). RNAcentral's name for it is "RIKEN cDNA 4930412M03 gene, transcript variant 4 (4930412M03Rik)". The record is from RNAcentral. Lineage: Eukaryota; Metazoa; Chordata; Mammalia; Rodentia; Muridae.